AUGGCCGUCGCCAUUCUGGCCGCGGCCGCGAUCACCGUGGCGGCGACGGACGGGACGGGGCCGAGGAGCUACUUCUCGUCGUGGGACGGGCCCGCGUGCACGGGGCGCAUGUCGAGCGCGGGGACCUGCGGGUGCAGCCCCGUCCACUUCCACGGCGGCCACGAGUUCAACUUCCGCGGCGAGACGGCGACGCUCUACAGCGAGCACGGCUGCGCCGGCACGCCGUACCAGGUGUUCGAGGACACCCAGGCCUGCGGCGACUUCGGCUGGCGCAGCAUCCACAUCGACUGCUGA
RNAcentral lists this ribosomal RNA (294 nucleotides) under Triticum aestivum (bread wheat). RNAcentral's name for it is "partial small subunit ribosomal RNA". The record is from RNAcentral. Lineage: Eukaryota; Viridiplantae; Streptophyta; Magnoliopsida; Poales; Poaceae.